UUUUAAAUUUUUAAAGAGUCUAAUUUAGGCAGAUUCAUCCAUUGCAAUGCUGUAGCAGUUUAAUUUUAGCUCCUGGAAUAACCGACCGUCCUUAGAGUAAGUGGCAAAGGGUUUGGUGGUUGAUACUCGAGACCAAAGUUCGAAUCCUAAUUGAUUCACAUUUCCAGCUAAGUUUAUUUCUAAAUGAAAUAAACGAAGCGAGUAGCAUGCUACCUUUCUCUCAAACAAAAAAAAAAAAUAAAAAAAAAAUA
Molecule: long non-coding RNA, 251 nt
Filed under: Ananas comosus (pineapple)
Lineage: Eukaryota; Viridiplantae; Streptophyta; Magnoliopsida; Poales; Bromeliaceae
Description: long non-coding RNA (ACOM_LNC011747)
Source: RNAcentral